Molecule: ribosomal RNA, 107 nt
Filed under: Pseudomonas fluorescens
Lineage: Bacteria; Pseudomonadati; Pseudomonadota; Gammaproteobacteria; Pseudomonadales; Pseudomonadaceae
Source: RNAcentral
CGACCAUAGAGCGUUGGAACCACCUGAUCCCAUCCCGAACUCAGCAGUGAAACGAUGCAUCGCCGAUGGUAGUGUGGGGUUUCCCCAUGUGAGAGUAGGUCAUCGUC